GGGCCCUUAGCUCAGUCUGGUUAGAGCGCUCGGCUCAUAACCGGGUGGUCGAUGGUUCGAAUCCGUCAGGGCCCA
RNAcentral lists this transfer RNA (75 nucleotides) under Halobellus sp. Atlit-31R. RNAcentral's name for it is "tRNA-Met". It matches the Rfam family "tRNA". Rfam says of the family: Transfer RNA (tRNA) molecules are approximately 80 nucleotides in length. The record is from RNAcentral. Lineage: Archaea; Methanobacteriati; Methanobacteriota; Halobacteria; Halobacteriales; Haloferacaceae.